UUGCUUUCUGAUUGUUUACUGAAGACAUGCGAGUUGUCAAGGUGCCAAGCCUGUUAUGCCUGCUACUGCUCAUGCCUCUUCUUUUAGUUCCUGGCUCGGAAGCCGAGACCUGCACUUAUGAGUGCAGGACCGAUAGCACUCUUCUAUGCAAGAAGGCUAAAUGUGUUGAGGUCUGCCACAAGGAGGGCUAUACUAGUGGGUUUUGUUACCUGUUCGCAAAAAUUUGUUACUGCCAAAAUGAGUGUUGAAUAAGAAAAAUCCUGCAACUAUUGUAGGAUGUGUGAUGUAACAAAAAAUAAGGUUGUGUACUAUGAUUAA
Long non-coding RNA from Triticum dicoccoides, 318 nucleotides. RefSeq lists it as uncharacterized. The transcript has 2 exons. The record is from RefSeq and is a predicted model, not a curated record. NCBI's taxonomy places the organism in Eukaryota, Viridiplantae, Streptophyta, Magnoliopsida, Poales, Poaceae.